Molecule: ribosomal RNA, 1222 nt
Filed under: Acinetobacter bouvetii
Lineage: Bacteria; Pseudomonadati; Pseudomonadota; Gammaproteobacteria; Moraxellales; Moraxellaceae
Description: bacterial SSU rRNA
Rfam family: Bacterial small subunit ribosomal RNA
Source: RNAcentral
GCUAGUUGGUGGGGUAAAGGCCUACCAAGGGGACGAUCUGUAGCGGGUUUGAGAGGAUGAUCCGCCACCCUGGGAAUGAGACACGGCCCAGAUUCCUACGGGAGGCAGCAGUGGGGAAUAUUGGACAAUGGGCGCAAGCCUGAUCCAGCCAUGCCGCGUGUGUGAAGAAGGCCUUUUGGUUGUAAAGCACUUUAAGCGAGGAGGAGGCUACUUGGAUUAAUACUCUAGGAUAGUGGACGUUACUCGCAGAAUAAGCACCGGCUAACUCUGUGCCAGCAGCCGCGGUAAUACAGAGGGUGCGAGCGUUAAUCGGAUUUACUGGGCGUAAAGCGUGCGUAGGCGGCUUCUUAAGUCGGAUGUGAAAUCCCUGAGCUUAACUUAGGAAUUGCAUUCGAUACUGGGAAGCUAGAGUAUGGGAGAGGAUGGUAGAAUUCCAGGUGUAGCGGUGAAAUGCGUAGAGAUCUGGAGGAAUACCGAUGGCGAAGGCAGCCAUCUGGCCUAAUACUGACGCUGAGGUACGAAAGCAUGGGGAGCAAACAGGAUUAGAUACCCUGGUAGUCCAUGCCGUAAACGAUGUCUACUAGCCGUUGGGGCCUUUGAGGCUUUAGUGGCGCAGCUAACGCGAUAAGUAGACCGCCUGGGGAGUACGGUCGCAAGACUAAAACUCAAAUGAAUUGACGGGGGCCCGCACAAGCGGUGGAGCAUGUGGUUUAAUUCGAUGCAACGCGAAGAACCUUACCUGGUCUUGACAUAGUAAGAACUUUCCAGAGAUGGAUUGGUGCCUUCGGGAACUUACAUACAGGUGCUGCAUGGCUGUCGUCAGCUCGUGUCGUGAGAUGUUGGGUUAAGUCCCGCAACGAGCGCAACCCUUUUCCUUAUUUGCCAGCGGGUUAAGCCGGGAACUUUAAGGAUACUGCCAGUGACAAACUGGAGGAAGGCGGGGACGACGUCAAGUCAUCAUGGCCCUUACGACCAGGGCUACACACGUGCUACAAUGGUCGGUACAAAGGGUUGCUACCUAGCGAUAGGAUGCUAAUCUCAAAAAGCCGAUCGUAGUCCGGAUUGGAGUCUGCAACUCGACUCCAUGAAGUCGGAAUCGCUAGUAAUCGCGGAUCAGAAUGCCGCGGUGAAUACGUUCCCGGGCCUUGUACACACCGCCCGUCACACCAUGGGAAUUUGUUGCACCAGAAGUAGGUAGUCUAACCGCAAGGAGGACGCUACC